Molecule: ribosomal RNA, 301 nt
Filed under: uncultured bacterium
Lineage: Bacteria
Description: partial 16S ribosomal RNA
Rfam family: Bacterial small subunit ribosomal RNA
Source: RNAcentral
CAGUAGCCGCGGUAACACGGAGGGUGCGAGCGUUAAUCGGAAUUACUGGGCGUAAAGCGUACGCAGGCGGUUUGUUAAGUCAGAUGUGAAAUCCCCGAGCUUAACUCGGGAACUGCAUUUGAAACUGGCAGGCUAGAGUCUCGUAGAGGGGGGUAGAAUUCCAGGUGUAGCGGUGAAAUGCGUAGAGAUCUGGAGGAAUACCGGUGGCGAAAGCGGCCCCCUGGACGAAGACUGACGCUCAGGUACGAAAGCGUGGGGAGCAAACAGGAUUAGAUACCCGGGUAGUCCCUGUCUCUUAUAC